This 97-nucleotide non-coding RNA is filed under the name Aggregatibacter aphrophilus. Lineage: Bacteria; Pseudomonadati; Pseudomonadota; Gammaproteobacteria; Pasteurellales; Pasteurellaceae. The record is from RNAcentral.
UGCGGUCACCAAAAACUCUGUUUUUUCGAAUAUUGACCGGCCAUGCCAAUAGCUCCGAAGGAGCGAAUAAAUCACAUAAUCAAUUUAUGAAUAUUUU